This 255-nucleotide ribosomal RNA is filed under the name uncultured bacterium. RNAcentral's name for it is "partial 16S ribosomal RNA". It matches the Rfam family "Bacterial small subunit ribosomal RNA", at positions 524 to 776 of the family's 1533-position model. The record is from RNAcentral.
CACGUAGGGCGCGAGCGUUGUCCGGAAUUAUUGGGCGUAAAGAGCUCGUAGGCGGCCUGUUGCGUCCGCUGUGAAAGCCCCGGGGGCUUAACCCCGGGUCGGCAGUGGAUACGGGCAGGCUAGAGGUAGGUAGGGGAGAAUGGAAUUCCCGGUGUAGCGGUGAAAUGCGCAGAUAUCGGGAGGAACACCGGUGGCGAAGGCGGUUCUCUGGGCCUUACCUGACGCUGAGGAGCGAAAGCGUGGGGAGCGAACAGG